UCGUGACCCUGACCAAAACAGACCGUGCUAGCGUCAUCCAAUCCUCCGACGACGGCAUCGUCCGUCGCUCGGCCAAUUCCUCGACCGCCUCCACUCCUAGGAGAGGGGGCUCGGGGUAAAAGAACCCACGGCGCCGAACGCGUCAAGGAACACUGUGCCUAACCCGGGGGAAUGGCUAGCUUGCUAAUCAUCCCUCGUGUUGCAAAGAUAUUUAAUCCACACGACUCUCGGCAACGGAUAUCUCGGCUCUCGCAUCGAUGAAGAACGUAGCGAAAUGCGAUACCUGGUGUGAAUUGCAGAAUCCCGCGAACCAUCGAGUCUUUGAACGCAAGUUGCGCCCGAGGCCACCCGGCCGAGGGCACGCCUGCCUGGGCGUCACGCCAAAACACGCUCCCAACCACCCUCUUUAGGAAUUGGGAUGCGGCAUAUGGUCCCUCGUCCUACAAGGGGCGGUGGGCCGAAGAUCGGGCUGCCGGCGUACCACGCCAGACACAGCACAUGGUGGGCGUCCUCGCUUUAUCAAUGCAGUGCAUCUGGUGCGUAGACGGCAUUAUGGCCUCAAAAUGACCCAGUGAACGAAGCCCACGUCGCUUCGACC
Molecule: ribosomal RNA, 598 nt
Filed under: Hordeum bulbosum
Lineage: Eukaryota; Viridiplantae; Streptophyta; Magnoliopsida; Poales; Poaceae
Description: eukaryotic LSU rRNA
Rfam family: 5.8S ribosomal RNA (bases 223-378)
Source: RNAcentral